Long non-coding RNA from Carassius carassius (crucian carp), 614 nucleotides. RefSeq lists it as uncharacterized. NCBI's taxonomy places the organism in Eukaryota, Metazoa, Chordata, Actinopteri, Cypriniformes, Cyprinidae. The transcript has 4 exons. The record is from RefSeq and is a predicted model, not a curated record.
AUAAUACACUGUAAAAAAUUUCUGUAAAUUUACAGCGUAUUAACAGCGUAAAUAUACAGUACUGAACUGUUUUCUAAAAUUACGGUGUCUUACCGUAAAUGCACACGUGAUCGGUGGGAGAGGGGGAACCAAAGGGUAGCUGACUCAUGGAGGAGCAUGGUUUCAGUCAAAGUUUUAUGGAUUUCAUCUCAAGUUGAAGCUCAUUCACAGUAACAUGAAGACGGACUGGUUUCGCAUGCAGAUGUUGCAGCAUCUGCAUCUGAUAUUGAGAAGACACUCAAUCUACCUGCCAAUCCUCAUCUGAUUUUGCUGGGUUAGUGUGUCAUUACACAUGAUGAAGAGACAUUUACUGAUGUUUAAGAUAUAAAAUUGUAACAUUGCUGUUGUGCACGAUUGUUAAAAUUGCUUUUUUUUUUCUUUUUUUUUUUGUGAGUGUCCAGUCAACACUUUUGACUGCAGUUACAACAGUGUUUGCUGUGUACUACCUCUUCAACCUGCAGUAUCAAGAAGCGGCUUGUUGCACGUAAGAAAGGUAAGUUUUUUUCAGUAUAUCAUCAUCUGAAACACUGUCAAAUGUGGUUUUAUUCGCAUGCCAGGCACGGAGAAAAUAGGAG